GAUGAAGAACGUAGCGAAAUGCGAUACUUGGUGUGAAUUGCAGAAUCCCGUGAACCAUCGAGUCUUUGAACGCAAGUUGCGCCCGAAGCCAUUAGGCCGAGGGCACGCCUGCCUGGGCGUCACACGUCGUUGCCCCCCCAUCUACUCCUUCGGGAUUGCGGGGGGCGGAUGAUGGCCUCCCGUGCGCCUCGUCGCGCGGUUGGCAUAAAUGCCAAGUCCUCGGCGACACACGCCACGACAAUCGGUGGUUGCGAAACCUCGGUUGCCCGUCGUGUGCGGUCGUCGCGCAUCGAGGGCUCGAAAAAAUUGCCGGGCUCCGGCUCGGCUUUCAACGCGACCCCAGGUCAGGCGGGGUUACCCGCUGAAUUUAAGCAUAACAAUAAGCGGAGGA
This 391-nucleotide unclassified non-coding RNA is filed under the name soil metagenome. RNAcentral's name for it is "partial contains 5.8S ribosomal RNA, internal transcribed spacer 2, and large subunit ribosomal RNA". The stretch from base 1 to 122 matches the Rfam family "5.8S ribosomal RNA", at positions 35 to 154 of the family's 154-position model. The record is from RNAcentral.